Molecule: non-coding RNA, 88 nt
Filed under: Reticulomyxa filosa
Lineage: Eukaryota; Foraminifera; Reticulomyxidae
Source: RNAcentral
UUCUAUGGCGGGCCGUGGUGGGGGCGUGCUUGCACGCGCCGGUUCCUCUAUGCCGGUCCGCCAACCCUGCCACGUGCCUGCCUCCCUG